GCCGGCAGCUAGCUCUCUGCAACUCUCACAUGGUCACCCACUGGAGCUGAGAAGGGCUGCGCCCGGUUAGUUCCUGGAUGGGAGACCACAUGGGAAAGCCAGGUUGCUGCCGGAA
RNAcentral lists this ribosomal RNA (115 nucleotides) under Danio rerio (zebrafish). The record is from RNAcentral. Lineage: Eukaryota; Metazoa; Chordata; Actinopteri; Cypriniformes; Danionidae.